RNAcentral lists this unclassified non-coding RNA (247 nucleotides) under uncultured Halomonadaceae bacterium. Its description in RNAcentral is "contains 16S-23S intergenic spacer region". It matches the Rfam family "Bacterial small subunit ribosomal RNA", at positions 524 to 776 of the family's 1533-position model. The record is from RNAcentral. Lineage: Bacteria; Pseudomonadati; Pseudomonadota; Gammaproteobacteria; Oceanospirillales; Halomonadaceae.
UACGGAGGGUGCAAGCGUUAAUCGGAAUUACUGGGCGUAAAGCGCGCGUAGGUGGCUUGAUAAGCCGGUUGUGAAAGCCCCGGGCUCAACCUGGGAACGGCAUCCGGAACUGUCAAGCUAGAGUGCAGGAGAGGAAGGUAGAAUUCCCGGUGUAGCGGUGAAAUGCGUAGAGAUCGGGAGGAAUACCAGUGGCGAAGGCGGCCUUCUGGACUGACACUGAGGUGCGAAAGCGUGGGUAGCAAACAGG